CUCUCACCUCUAACGCCGCAGUGGAUUAGAGCAUCUGAGAAGCUCUGGAAAAAACCUCUCAGGAAAACAACGACUUCAGCAGGACCCACUAGCCAAGGAAAGGGGAUAAAAUAAAUAGCAAAGGGAAGGAAAAACACGCACCUCUGGGAUGCUGCAGGUCCUGUUGCAGCCGCCGCCAUCCCUCGAAGCCACCGUUGCUUCUGCCAGAGCUGCUACUAGCGCGCUUAUCAGCUCCGCCACCGCCCAAGGGGGAAACUUCUGCAGAAACCCCAACCGAGCUUCCGUCGUAAGUAGCCAACGAGCAGCCACGCAGCGUGCUGCUAGCGGGGCGGGAGGCUACGCGCGGGCGCGUGGCCUGCUGGGGCAGUGGAGGACCGAGUCUUCCCAGCCCGCACCCUGGCCUGGGACCCGCGCUCCCAGUCCCGGGACCCGCGCUCCCAGUCCCCGCCCCUAGCAGCCAUGGUUAUGGAGGCCCGGGCCAACACGUUCUCCUUCUCUUCCACCGCGCCCACUGCUGCGGUCACUCGGACCAAGCCUCCAGGAGUAGUAGCUCAGAAGCACUUUUGUAGCAUACCGUUACCCCUCAGGAGCUUAGCGGUUAAGGGCGUUUGCAUGUCUUUUAGUAACACAAGCUCCAGGCCGGGCGCCGUGGCUCACGCCUGUAAUCCCAGCACUUUGGGAGUCCGAGACGGGUGGAUCACGAAGUCAGGAGUUCAAGACCAGCCUCGCCAAGAUGCUGAAACCCCGUCUACGAAAAAUACAAAAAUUAGCCGGGCGUGAUGGUGGGCGCCUGUAAUCCCAGCUACUGGGGAGGCUGAGGCAGGAGAAUCGCUUGAACCUGGGAGGCAGAGGUUGCAGUGAGCCGAGAUCGCGCCACUGCACCACAGCCUGGGCGACAGAGCAAGACUCCUUAAUAAAUAAAUAAAUAAAUAAAAAAUAAAUAAAAUAAGCUACUUCGAGCUCCGUUUUCCCUAGGUUUUAUCAUGGCUGCCACAGGUGGCCAAGCCCUUUCGUCUCCGUGAUGUCACUGGAGGCUGCGUGGUCUUUUCAGGGAACAGAGGGGCCUGGAUGGCGCCUGGAUUCCGGCGAUCGUUGCGCUGGGAAUGGAAAAGGGCUGGGACUCGCUGGAAGUCGUUCUGAACUAAUAGAGCUAAAGGCCUUCUGGUUCCUGGGGAGACGCGCCUGGCCCCCGUGUACUAUUCAUUCCCUUCCUCAUAACUCCACAGCCCAGGCUUUCUUCUUAGUGGGCUUCCUAGACCGAAAGUGAUCUCAGGGCCGCUUUGUUUCCCAUCCCGGUCGGUCAGGCCCUCCGUCAGCGCCCUUUGACCCAUGCAGAUCGGAUGGGGAAAGCUGCCAGCGCCUUCCAGGGAUGGGGGCAGAAUGGGGAGCUGGAGGGAGUGGUCUUUUUCUAACUUUAUACCACUAUCAAACUGUGUUAAUUCAUGUAGCUUUAUAAUAAGUCUUGAAGUCCUGUGACUUUAUUCUCCCAAGAUUGCUUUGGCUUAUUCUAAGGCUAUUGUAUUUGUAGGUGAAUUUUGGAAUUAGCUUGUCAGUUUAAAAAAAAAACAAAACUGCUAGGAUUUGUACUGGGCUUGCGUUGGAUCUGUAGAUCUGUUUGGGGAAAACUAGUAUAUUAACAAUACUGUCCUUCAAUCCAUUAAUAUCAUUAUUUCCCACCAUUUAUUUAAGUGGCCUCUAAUUUUUCCUGGUAAUAUUUUGUAGAUUGUACACAUAUUUAUAUCUUAAUGUUUGGAUCCAAGUUGUGCUUGGAUCGAUUGCAGUAUAGAGAUCAAACAUAUAUUUCAUUAGAUUUAUUCUUGAGCAGUGUUUUAAAUGCGAUGUUAAAUAGCAUUUUAUUUUUUUAUAUUCUCGUUUGUUGUAAGAAUAUAGAAAUGCUAUUGAUUUUUACAUAUUGAUGUUAUAUUCAAGCAUGUUGCUAAGUUCCCUUAUUAUUUGUAAGGGACAAAAAGACUACAGAGUCUUUUGGAAUUUAUGUGAUUACAAUCUUCCAAUCUGUGAAUAGAGAUGGUUUAACUUUCCUGUAAUCUUUAUACCUUUUAGUUUUGUUGCUGGCUAGUAUGUCCACUAUUGAAUAGAAAUAGUGAUAAUGGACUUCCUUGUCUUGGUUGUAAAAUCAAGAGGAAAGCAUUCAAUAUCAAGUGCUUUUUCUGCCUUUAUUGAAAUGUUCAUAUGUAUUUUUAAUAAUAAUAUGUUACUGUUAUAUAAUAAUAAUUUUAAAAUAAUAUUUUAAUAAUAAUGUUACAAUGUAACCAAUUACAUUGGUUAAUUUUCAAAUGUUAUCUAAAUGGCCAAUUGUCCUUCCGGAUCCCCAUUGAUUCCGAUUGGGAUGGCACUGUAAGAGAGGCAGAACCAGUGAAGGAAACAAGGUUUUUUCAGGAGUUAUAUACAGGGGUGGUCCAGUGGUGGUGGGCUGGCCUGGAGAAAUACUACCGUUCGUAUUAAAAAAAAAAAAGCAUGUAGUCCAUAUAGCAUAUAGCAUUUUCACUUAGAACCCUCCUUCUAGCAAUCUCCAUUUAACCCAAAACAAAGGGCCUCGAUCACCUGUACAGCCUGUGUUCCAAGGGAUGGGGCAGGGAUAUGGCUGUCCUUCAUAGAUAAGUAGUGAAUCUCAGUGUUGGCUACUCCCGGAUUCCUUAGCCUGGGACUCCAAACACACUUAGAAUAGGGUAAUUCUCAGGUAUGCUCCAGUUAUGGCUCAGCCAUACACCAAGGUGUAUACACCAACCCCUGCCAUGCACCAAUAUGCAUAUAAAUAUGAAUAGCCUCUGAAAGGGCGAAUUCCUAGAUUGACCUAUAGGCCCACAUGAAAAGUUCUAUAUUAAUAGCUAUGUCAUGACUGGGUGCAGUGGCUCAUACCUGUAAUCCCAACACUUUGGGAGGUCGAGGUGGGUGGAUCCCUUGAGGCCAGGAGUUGGAGACCAGCCUGGGCAACAUGACAAAACCCCAUCUCUACUAAAAAUACAAAAAUUACCUGGGCUUGGUGGUGCACACCUAUAAUCCAAGCUACUAAGGAGGCUGAGGCACAGGAAUCACUUGAACCUGGGAGGCAGAGGUUGCAGUGAGUGAGAUGGCACCACUGCACUCCAGCCUGGGCAACAGAGUCAGACUCUGUCUCAAAAAAAAAAAAUAGCUGUAUCAUGGACAUUGAAAUUAUAAUGAGAUACCAAAACUACCACCAGAAUGACUUAAAUUAAAAGGAUUUCCAAUACCAAGCAUUGACAAGGAUAUGGAGCAUUUUUUAGAGAGAAUGACCAAGGAGUUGGCUACAGUCAGGUGCUGCAGAAUCAGAUCUGUGGACCUUAAUGUGCAUCUGGUGAAAUAAAUAACUAUAAUGGUGAUGAAGAAAGCAAUUGCCCAGGAAUCCUACUGUGGUCUGAGAUAAGAAGAUCAUAUUCCUAUUGCCACAUCCCUGGAGGCCAUUUGUCUUUUUUCAAUGACUGAUCAUCCUAUUCAGAGUGAGAGGAUCUGGCAUGGAAACAAGAGGCCUGUCGUACCAUGGCAACUGAAAGCCACUCUUUCCCACUUACCAUUGUUUUCAAGCCAUUAAUUUCCUAUUAAACUUCAUUUUCCUCUUCCUGAGAGUUUCACUAUAAAAAUAUAUGUGUGUAUAGAUAUAUAUUCCUAGCAUAAGAGUACUAUAAUAGUGUUUUACAUAGAACUUUUACAACAAUUCUUUGAAGUGCUUUAUUGUUCCCAUUUGACAGGUGAGGCGAUCUCAGGCACAGGAAGGCUGAAUGACAUUUCCAAAGUCACCUCCUUGUAAGAGGCAGUGUCAGAAGCUGACAAUGGACUUGACCACUAUGCUGUCGUAGCAACAGAGAG
RNAcentral lists this long non-coding RNA (3843 nucleotides) under Homo sapiens (human). RNAcentral describes it as "non-protein coding lnc-CTSV-5:3". Lineage: Eukaryota; Metazoa; Chordata; Mammalia; Primates; Hominidae. The record is from RNAcentral.